ACAUUAAAGAGAAGGUUUUAGAGAGAGAGAGAGAGAAACAGAGAAGAUUAGCAUGGCCCCUGCUCAAGGGUGACAUGCAAAUGCAUAAAAUAUUUCACAUUUUU
RNAcentral lists this small nuclear RNA (104 nucleotides) under Sciurus carolinensis (gray squirrel). Lineage: Eukaryota; Metazoa; Chordata; Mammalia; Rodentia; Sciuridae. The record is from RNAcentral. RNAcentral also lists the same sequence under 1 other name.